AUGUCAUGUGAUUGUUCUGAAAAAAGAACAAUGAAAAAUAAAGAAAAUAAUAGAGUUGCUUCCUGGUUUAAAGUUGAGCUUUAAAAGGCACAAAAAUUAGAUUGAUCACUGCCCUGUGAGGAUCAUGGUGAACCUCUCCACACUCACCAGGGCCCGGCUGGAUCGUGUCAUCUGCUCUGCAAGCCUCACAUCACAGCAGCUGCACAUCUGCAGGGCCCAGAGACAAGCCGCCGGGAUCGCAGCGGGCCACUCCCACCACGCACAGCCACUCCCACUCUGGCAGGAGGCUCUGGUCCAUUGGAACAAAGACCUGCUGCUUCAGAACUUAAUUGUUUCAGAAAUGAAGAAUACUGUAGAUUAAAAAACCACAAGAUCUUUUGAACUUUAACCAAACGCGUCGGGAAAAGGAUCAAGUAAAUGAAAAAGUGAAGGCUGCUGCGUUCCGUUAACAUUUUCAAACACUCACAUUGACUUUACAGCUGAAACAGAUUCCUAAGACAUUAAUCUUUAAUGUUUCCAGCUUUAGUGCUGACAGAACAGAACACAUCACGAAUGUUAUACCAGAGAAUUCUUUGUCCAAAUAUGACAUUUUUCUGUUGCUUUUGAUGACUACCCAGUCAUGUGUAGCGUUCCCCAAACCAGACAAACCUCAGAAGAGGAUAUUUAUAGCUGCUCUACUUUUCUCUGCAGGAGAUCAACAAGUCACAGACUUUCUGCUCCAAAGAGUAUCAACAUUACAAGCAGGUGCUCGGGAUCAACUAAUAAAAGCAGAUGCCUCCAACCUUCAAGGUCUCCCACGUGUCGGCAGCUAUUUUAACCAGGGAGCCAAGAAACAGGACGAAAGCAGCUUCAGGCGUGACGGGUCCGUCAGUCAUAGAGCAGAGUCUAUGCUCAAACAUUUCUAUUGCUCCACCGUUUUUAGAGGCUGAAACAAAUGAUUUGUGAAUGUCUAAUUUCUUUGUCUUGAUCUUAUUUUUUUGGAUUCUAAAUUGUGUUAUUUAAGUGAAACUGCUUUUCUUUGUGUUUUGAUUUUUUACCAUACCACCUUAAAGAAGAGGAUGGGAGUUUGACAAAAAAACAUACGGGUUACUUGAAGGAAGCAUGGCUGAAAUGGUCAGGGAACAAUCAUUUUACAAACCACUUUUACGGACAAAAAUCUAAUUUUUCCAAAUAACCCACUAAACUUUACUUAACCUUUUUUCUAGCCUUUUCCUCUAGAGGUCGCACCAGGCCUGACAGAGUAAGGAAGUGAUACCAACAACCCAUUAAUGAUCACGGGAGGGGGGUACAGGCUUUACCCCAAUGGCAAGGAUCCGUGUCAGCUUAACGCGUGAGCGGGGAAUUAAGCUGAAUGAAAACAUCGACACCCCACCCGUUUCAUUCAGAGGAAGAACGCCACCAUAAACCUAACACACACUCACACACACGUUCAGUGCAGCCGUUACAGUUUUAAUCAGUGGACAUUCAGCAGAAAUCAUACUUUAUCAUAAUGAUUUACAACUGGGGUAGAACAGUGGAACAGUGGACAGCACUUUCUCCUCACAGUGAUGGAGUUGGAAUCCCGGUUGGGACCUUUCUGUGUGGAGUUUGCAUGCUCUCCUGGUUCAUGUGUGGCUUUUCUCCGUCUUCCUUGCACAGUCCAACCAGAUGCUUCAUGUCUCUGUGUGGUCCUGCGACGGCUGGAGAACUGUAGAGUGACCCCCCCCCCCAUUCACCCAUCAGCAGCUGUGUAGGCUCCAGUGACCCCAUGACCCCCAACAAUAGGCAGGUAUCAAAAAUAAAUUACUUUAAAAAACCACCAAAAAAAACAUUUCAAAGCAGCUCAUUUAGAAAAUGAAAAUGUACCAGUUUAAACUAAAGUAAAAGUUUUUUUUUAUUAUUAUUCAAACUUAUGAAACAUCUCAACUUUUCCAGGAUUCAUCUGUACUUUCUUUAUUUUUGGCGAUGAUAAACUGAUUCAGUGUUUUAAUUCUAAUGUUUAUCAGAUCAUCGAAGAAGCGAAAAUUCAAGCUCAGACACAUAGAACCCAGAAUUUAAUGAAAACCCCAAAAUAAAAAAUGUCUGCAGACGAGGUAAAGUGGUAAUUUACAGAAAAAACAUUCACACUACAGCUGUGUUAAAUGUAACCACAAGGGGCGCAAUCCAGGGAUUAUGUGUGCCAGUCCCAAGUCUGAGGAAACGCAGACAGUUGUGUCACGAAGGACGUCAUGUGGGAAACAUAAUGAGGAACUCAAGUGGAAUAAUGAGGUUACAGGGGGCGGAGGUGAAGAAGGUGGAGGACUUUAAGCACUGGGGGUCACAAGUCCAGAUCAACAGAGUGUGGGAAAGAAGUGGAGAUGUACGCAACCGGUUGGAAAGGGUGGAGGAAGGUUUCAGGUGUAAUGUGUGACUAAAAAAAUGUCAGCAGAAUGAAGGGAAAUGUGUAGAAGACUUUGAGGGAAGCAGCCAUUAGAGUGAGAAAGAGG
Molecule: long non-coding RNA, 2465 nt
Organism: Oryzias sinensis (Chinese medaka)
Lineage: Eukaryota; Metazoa; Chordata; Actinopteri; Beloniformes; Adrianichthyidae
Source: Ensembl